UUAGAGUUUGAUCCUGGCUCAGGACGAACUCUGGCGGCGCGCCUAACACAUGCAAGUCGAACGAGAGAGAGGGAGCUUGCUUCCUCAAUCGAGUGGCGAACGGGUGAGUAACGCGUGAGGAACCUGCCUCAAAGAGGGGGACAACAGUUGGAAACGACUGCUAAUACCGCAUAAGCCCACGACCCGGCAUCGGGAAGAGGGAAAAGGAGCAAUCCGCUUUGAGAUGGCCUCGCGUCCGAUUAGCUAGUUGGUGAGGUAACGGCCCACCAAGGCGACGAUCGGUAGCCGGACUGAGAGGUUGAACGGCCACAUUGGGACUGAGACACGGCCCAGACUCCUACGGGAGGCAGCAGUGGGGAAUAUUGCACAAUGGGGGAAACCCUGAUGCAGCGACGCCGCGUGGAGGAAGAAGGUCUUCGGAUUGUAAACUCCUGUUGUUGAGGAAGAUAAUGACGGUACUCAACAAGGAAGUGACGGCUAACUACGUGCCAGCAGCCGCGGUAAAACGUAGGUCACAAGCGUUGUCCGGAAUUACUGGGUGUAAAGGGAGCGCAGGCGGGCGAUCAAGUUGGAAGUGAAAUCCAUGGGCUCAACCCAUGAACUGCUUUCAAAACUGGUCGUCUUGAGUAGUGCAGAGGUAGGCGGAAUUCCCGGUGUAGCGGUGGAAUGCGUAGAUAUCGGGAGGAACACCAGUGGCGAAGGCGGCCUACUGGGCACCAACUGACGCUGAGGCUCGAAAGUGUGGGUAGCAAACAGGAUUAGAUACCCUGGUAGUCCACACCGUAAACGAUGAUUACUAGGUGUUGGGAGAUUGACCCUCUCCAGUGCCGCAGUUAACACAAUAAGUAAUCCACCUGGGGAGUACGACCGCAAGGUUGAAACUCAAAGGAAUUGACGGGGGCCCGCACAAGCAGUGGAGUAUGUGGUUUAAUUCGACGCAACGCGAAGAACCUUACCAAGUCUUGACAUCCCUUGACGAUGCUGGAAACAGUAUUUCUCUUCGGAGCAAGGAGACAGGUGGUGCAUGGUUGUCGUCAGCUCGUGUCGUGAGAUGUUGGGUUAAGUCCCGCAACGAGCGCAACCCUUAUGGUCAGUUACUACGCAAGAGGACUCUGGCCAGACUGCCGUUGACAAAACGGAGGAAGGUGGGGAUGACGUCAAAUCAUCAUGCCCUUUAUGACUUGGGCUACACACGUACUACAAUGGCGUUAAACAAAGAGAAGCAAGACCGCGAGGUGGAGCAAAACUCAGAAACAACGUCCCAGUUCGGACUGCAGGCUGCAACUCGCCUGCACGAAGUCGGAAUUGCUAGUAAUCGUGGAUCAGUAUGCCACGGUGAAUACGUUCCCGGGCCUUGCACACAGCGCCCGUC
RNAcentral lists this ribosomal RNA (1372 nucleotides) under uncultured bacterium. RNAcentral's name for it is "16S ribosomal RNA". It matches the Rfam family "Bacterial small subunit ribosomal RNA". The record is from RNAcentral.